CGCAUCUGUGCAUGCAGCAUAUCAAUAAGCGGAGGAAAAGAAACUAACAAGGAUUCCCCUAGUAACGGCGAGUGAAGCGGGAAGAGCUCAAAUUUGAAAUCUUAAAGGGUUUCCCUUUACGAAUUGUAGUUUAAAGAAGUGUUUUCUGUUGAGGUUUUGGUAAAAGUUCUUUGGAAUAGGACAUCAUAGAGGGUGAGAAUCCCGUAUUUGACCUUUACUUUCAACUUUGUGAUACACUUUCAAAGAGUCGGAUUGUUAGGGAAUGCAGUCCAAAAUGGGUGGUAAAUUUCAUCUAAAGCUAAAUAUUGGCGAGAGACCGAUAGCGAACAAGUACCGUGAGGGAAAGAUGAAAAGAACUUUGAAAAGAGAGUUAAACAGUACGUGAAAUUGUCAAAAGGGAAGCGUUUGACACCAGUGUUGUUUUUCUGAAAAUCAAUUAAAGAACUGUUUAUGCUAAGCUGUUUAGACUUUAUCAGCUAACUGUUUAGUUUUGAGCUUUUCUUUAAUGCACUUUUCAGUUAACAAGUCAACAUCAAUUUCUUUUGCUGUAAAAAAGCUUGAGGAAGGUGGCUUGAGAUUCGUCUUAAGUGUUUAUAGCCUCUUGCCUAUGCAGUCGGAGAGAUUGAGGUCUGCAGCGUAGAUCCUUCGGGGCUAAAUGCAUUUGUGCUAAGUUAUAGCAUUUUAUAGACAACUUGUUGACUAUGAUUUGUCUUGUAGCUUACUCGCUUAUGUUAUUUUACCUACGCUUAGGAUGUUGAGUCGUAGAGCACGCAG
Molecule: ribosomal RNA, 774 nt
Filed under: uncultured Neocallimastigales
Lineage: Eukaryota; Fungi; Neocallimastigomycota; Neocallimastigomycetes; Neocallimastigales
Description: partial large subunit ribosomal RNA
Rfam family: Eukaryotic large subunit ribosomal RNA
Source: RNAcentral